GAAUUUUUAUGGGCUUUUUUUUUCCUCCCUUUUUACAUUUGUUUCUGUGACUGCUUAUGGGUCAUGUGUUUAAUAUAUUUUUUUAUUGUUUAAUUUUGUUUAGUUAGUAGUUUCUUUUUGAGAUUAAACUGACCCCAUUAAUAUAGAUUAUUCUAAAUUUGUUUUAGGGAAAAAGAAGGUAAGAUAUUUCUAUUUUUAUUUUUUUUGGUUUAAUUCUUUGCUGACAUGGCAUUCUCUAGAUGAAUUUCAAAGUGCUGAGGUGGACACUCGAAAAAGACUCAAAUUGUCCCUUUUAUUAGUAUUGACUAAGAAUAAUCCGGGCUGUGCCCAGUCUAUUUUUUAUUGUUAUUUUCUAUAUUUGUUAUAUUUUUGUAGUUUUUAAAUUUUUUGACGCAUGAAUAUUUGGUUAUAUUUUUUUUUUGUUAAUUUUUUAAAUUAUU
RNAcentral lists this long non-coding RNA (440 nucleotides) under Capsella rubella. RNAcentral's name for it is "long non-coding RNA (CRUB_LNC000840)". The record is from RNAcentral. Lineage: Eukaryota; Viridiplantae; Streptophyta; Magnoliopsida; Brassicales; Brassicaceae.